This 456-nucleotide ribosomal RNA is filed under the name Burkholderia cepacia. RNAcentral's name for it is "bacterial SSU rRNA". It matches the Rfam family "Bacterial small subunit ribosomal RNA", at positions 1 to 457 of the family's 1533-position model. Lineage: Bacteria; Pseudomonadati; Pseudomonadota; Betaproteobacteria; Burkholderiales; Burkholderiaceae. The record is from RNAcentral. RNAcentral also lists the same sequence under 1 other name.
AAACUGAAGAGUUUGAUCCUGGCUCAGAUUGAACGCUGGCGGCAUGCCUUACACAUGCAAGUCGAACGGCAGCACGGGUGCUUGCACCUGGUGGCGAGUGGCGAACGGGUGAGUAAUACAUCGGAACAUGUCCUGUAGUGGGGGAUAGCCCGGCGAAAGCCGGAUUAAUACCGCAUACGAUCUACGGAUGAAAGCGGGGGACCUUCGGGCCUCGCGCUAUAGGGUUGGCCGAUGGCUGAUUAGCUAGUUGGUGGGGUAAAGGCCUACCAAGGCGACGAUCAGUAGCUGGUCUGAGAGGACGACCAGCCACACUGGGACUGAGACACGGCCCAGACUCCUACGGGAGGCAGCAGUGGGGAAUUUUGGACAAUGGGCGAAAGCCUGAUCCAGCAAUGCCGCGUGUGUGAAGAAGGCCUUCGGGUUGUAAAGCACUUUUGUCCGGAAAGAAAUCCUUGG